This is a long non-coding RNA of Salarias fasciatus (jewelled blenny), 764 nucleotides long. RefSeq lists it as uncharacterized. The transcript has 4 exons. Lineage: Eukaryota; Metazoa; Chordata; Actinopteri; Blenniiformes; Blenniidae. The record is from RefSeq and is a predicted model, not a curated record.
CUGUUCAGAGAGCAGGAGAGGACGUCACUCUGACUUGUCAACAUAAGCUGGAGGGUCAACGGAACUGUAAUGGAACAUCAUGGUACUAUUAUGCUGGAACCACUAAUAUCAUGGAUCUGGUUCAACUUGGGAAGAUUAAAGACUACAGUGACAUAACAUCAGACAGACUGAGAGUUGCAGCAGAUUGCUCUCUGAUUCUGAAGAAAGUCACAGAAAAGCAAGUUGGUCAUUAUUAUUGUGAUCAAUUCAAAUCAGACAGUUCAAAGCAACCCGUUCUAGUUAGCUGGUCUUUCGUGGAUCUGUCUAUCGUCAACAUCGUGACUGAACAUGACUCCGAUGACGAGGAGACACUGAAAUGCUUCGUGACGUCUAUACAGGAAAACUGUGAACUGGAAGUGAAGUGGACGAUCAAAGAUCAGGAUAUUGAUGAAGUCAACAGUCAGAUAAAGACAGAAAAGAAUGGAUGUUCUGCCACUGUGACUCUUAAAAAGUCACAUUAUCUUCACCCACAAACACACUUCCUGAGCUGUGAAGUGACUGACAACAGAACAGGAGAAACGUUUCGUUUCAGUCCUCGACCCUCAGGUGACACGAAAUCAACAAUGAAACCAGAAAGCUUCACAAAAUCAGCUGGAACUGAAACCAGUGGAGCUUCAGCAGGUCCACAAGGCUCGUGGUGGAUGCACUCGAUUGUCGCUGUGGGUCUGAUUGUACUCCUGAUCACAGCUGUGGUGAUCAUCAUCAGGUGGGAAAGGACCAAAGGU